Molecule: ribosomal RNA, 987 nt
Filed under: Triticum aestivum (bread wheat)
Lineage: Eukaryota; Viridiplantae; Streptophyta; Magnoliopsida; Poales; Poaceae
Description: partial small subunit ribosomal RNA
Source: RNAcentral
AUGGCAGACCACCUUCAAGUUCAACAACAACACCAACACCAACUAGAGCUCCCUUCGGGGUUUAGGUUCCACCCUACCGAUGAGGAGAUCAUCACCUCGUACCUGGUCCCCAAGGUGCUCAACCCAACCUUCACCGCGAUAGCGAUCGCGGAGGUGGAUCUGAAUAAGAACGACCCGUAUGAGCUCCCCAAGAAGGCAAAGAUGGGGGAGAAGGAGUGGUACUUCUACUGUCAGAAGGACCGCAAGUAUCCCACGGGGAUACAGACCAACCGGGCCACGAAAGCCGGCUACUGGAAGGCCACUGGCAAGGACAAGGAGAUCUUCCACCCACUGCCCACUCUCAUCGGCAUGAAGAAGACGCUCGUGUUCUAUAAGGGCAGGGCGCCUAGGGGGGAGAAGACCAACUGGGUCAUGCACGAGUACAGGCUUGAGAUCAGCAAGCAGCCUGCAUAUGGCCCAUCUACCGCCAUCGCCAAAGCUGCCGCCAUUAAUGCAUCUUCCAAGAAGGAGCGUGUGGUUUGCAAAAUCUUCCAUAAGAACAUUGGAGUCAAGAAGGUGGUGACCCCGUCGUACGCCAUGCACAUGCCCAUGUUCAUAGGAGGAGAGCAGCAACAGGGCUCCCUCAACUCAUGUACGUUCCCGCCUCCCAUGGACUACGGCGCAUCGUUGUCGCUGGCGCCUCCGUUGUUUCUAUCUGAAGAUUCUUCGUACCAAUUGCAUGCCGCCAGAGUCGGCUUGGCGAUGACGGGCAGCUUGGUGCUCCCCAUGGUGAACAACCCCCACCACGAGAUGAUGGGCGGCAACCCAAUGGUGUCCUACCAACAACAACAGAUGAUGCAGAUGCAGAUGCAAAUGGGUGCAGACCAGUGCUUCAUGGUUGGGGUUGAGCCUGGGAGCGAGUCGUCGUCCAUGGUGUCCAGAGAGGGCGUUGACCGGCUGGGCAACAACGUCCAAGGCAAUGGCGCCACAACAACCAUUGACAGUUAA